Molecule: ribosomal RNA, 406 nt
Filed under: uncultured bacterium
Lineage: Bacteria
Description: partial 16S ribosomal RNA
Rfam family: Bacterial small subunit ribosomal RNA
Source: RNAcentral
AUUGAACGCUGGCGGCAGGCCUAACACAUGCAAGUCGAACGAGUGGCGGACGGGUGAGUAAUGUCUGGGAAACUGUCCGAUGGAGGGGGAUAACUACUGGAAACGGUAUCUAAUACCGCAUACCAUCGGAUGUGCCCAGAUGGGAUUAGCUAUUAGGUGGGGUAACGGCUCACCGAGGCGACGAUCCCUAUCUGGUCUGAGAGGAUGACCAGCCAAACUGGAACGGAGACACGGUCCAGACUCCUACGGGAGGCAGCAGUGGGGAAUAUUGCACAAUGGGCGCAAGCCUGAUGCAGCCAUGCCGCGUAUAUGAAGAAGGCCGUCGGGUUGUAAAGUACUUUCAGCGAGGAGGCGUUACUCGCAGAAGAAGCACCGGCUAACUCCGUGCCAGCCGCCGCGGUAAUUC